Molecule: ribosomal RNA, 393 nt
Filed under: uncultured bacterium
Lineage: Bacteria
Description: partial 16S ribosomal RNA
Rfam family: Bacterial small subunit ribosomal RNA
Source: RNAcentral
AUACGGAGGAUGCGAGCGUUAUCCGGAUUUAUUGGGUUUAAAGGGUGCGUAGGCGGACGAUUAAGUCAGCUGUGAAAUGCCCGCGCUUAACGCGGGAAGUGCAGUUGAUACUGGUUGUCUGGAGUGCCGUUGCCGUGGGGGGAAUGUGUAGUGUAGCGGUGAAAUGCAUAGAUAUUACACAGAACGCCGAUUGUGAAGACACCUCACGAAGCGGUAACUGACGCUGAGGCACGAAAGCGUGGGGAUCGAACAGGAUUAGAUACCCUGGUAGUCCACGCAGUAAACGAUGAUGACUAACCGUCGGCGAUAGAAUGUCGGUGGCCAAGCGAAAGCGAUAAGUUAUCCACCUGGGGAGUACGUUCGCAAGAAUGAAACUCAAAUGAAUUGACGGGG